GCGCAUGCAGGCGGCCUGUUAAGUCAGAUGUGAAAGCCCGGGGCGUUAACCUCGGAAUUGCAUUUGUAAACUGGCAGGCUAGAGUCUUGUAGAGGGGGGUAGGAAUUUCAGGUGUAGCGGUGAAAAUGCGUAGAGAUCUGAAGGAAUACCAGUGGCGAAGGCGGCCCCCUCGGACAAAGACUGACGCUCAGAUGCGAAAGCGUGGGGAGCAAACAGGAUUAGAUACCCUGGUAG
Molecule: ribosomal RNA, 234 nt
Filed under: uncultured bacterium
Lineage: Bacteria
Description: partial 16S ribosomal RNA
Rfam family: Bacterial small subunit ribosomal RNA
Source: RNAcentral